Molecule: ribosomal RNA, 644 nt
Filed under: uncultured bacterium
Lineage: Bacteria
Description: bacterial SSU rRNA
Rfam family: Bacterial small subunit ribosomal RNA
Source: RNAcentral
GGGGCAUCCCACGGGUGUUAAAAGGAAGUGAUUCCGGCGGAGGAUGGGCAUGCGGCGCAUUAGCUGAUUGGCGGGGUAACGGCCCACCAAGGCGACGAUGCGUAGGGGUUCUGAGAGGAAGGUCCCCCACACUGGUACUGAGACACGGACCAGACUCCUACGGGAGGCAGCAGUGAGGAAUAUUGGUCAAUGGGCGGGAGCCUGAACCAGCCAAGUCGCGUGAGGGAAGACGGUCCUAUGGAUUGUAAACCUCUUUAGGCGGGGAGCAAUGCCGGGCACGCGUGCCCGGAGGGAGAGUACCCGCAGAAUAAGCAUCGGCUAACUCCGUGCCAGCAGCCGCGGUAAUACGGAGGAUGCGAGCGUUAUCCGGAUUUAUUGGGUUUAAAGGGUGCGUAGGCGGAUUUUUAAGUCAGCGGUAAAAUGUCCGGGCUCAACCCGGGCCGGCCGUUGAAACUGGGGAUCUUGAGUGGGCGAGAAGUAUGCGGAAUGCGUGGUGUAGCGGUGAAAUGCAUAGAUAUCACGCAGAACUCCGAUUGCGAAGGCAGCAUACCGGCGCCCGACUGACGCUGAGGCACGAAAGCGUGGGGAUCGAACAGGAUUAGAUACCCUGGUAGUCCACGCAGUAAACGAUGAAUGCUAGUUGU